This is a long non-coding RNA of Cyprinus carpio carpio, 985 nucleotides long. NCBI's taxonomy places the organism in Eukaryota, Metazoa, Chordata, Actinopteri, Cypriniformes, Cyprinidae. The record is from Ensembl.
GGUGCUGUAUAUUGCUGUGGGCUGCUGUGUAUUGCCGUGUGUCCUGUCAGAUAAACCCCCGCCUUCACGCACUUCGUCGCGGGAGGACAAGGAGACUGCUGGUCCUAGCCUAGUUCAGUAUAGUAUAUGUUGUGAGCGUGCUUCAGAUCUCCGGAGAUAGCACAGUACGCUGUGUCCAGCCCAGAGGUGAAAGCCAUCCAAAGCAGAGUAACUGUGCUUUGCGUCCAAGUUGAUACCUGUGGAGAGGAAAGGAAAGAGAGAGUGAGUAACACAAGGAGAAACAGAGCGAACCCUGUACUUACAGUACGCUGUGUCCAGCCCAGAGGUGAGAGCCAUUCAAAGCAAACUAACUGUGCUAUUGUGCCCAAGUUGAUACCUGUGGAGAGAAAAGGAGAGAGAGUGGGUAACACGAGGAGAGAUCGAGGAAACCUGUACUUACGCCGCUGCCUGUGGAGAGAAAAGGAAAGAGAGAGUGAGUAACACAAGGAGAAACAGAGGAAACCUGUACUUACAGUACGCUGUGUUCAGCCCAGAGGUGAAAGCCAUCCAAAGCAGAGUAACUGUGCUUUGCGUCCAAGUUGAUACCUGUGGAGAGGAAAGGAAAGAGAGAGUGAAUAACACGAGGAGGAAUAGAGCGAACCCUGUACUUACAGUACGCUGUGUCCAGCCCAGAGGUGAGAGCCAUUCAAAGCAAACUAACUGUGCUAGUGUGCCCAAGUUGAUGCCUGUGGAGAGAAAAAGGAGAGAGAGUGGGUAACACGAGGAGAGACCGAGGAAACCUGUACUUACGCCGCUGCCUGUGGAGAAAGAGAAAGCGAGUGAGCACCCAAGGAACGAACUGUGUGAACCAGUACUUACUGUGAGCUGUAAUCAGCGAAGAGGUGAGAGCAAAACCAAGCUGAACUAACUGUGCCUGUGUGUCCCAGCCGUUGCCUGUGGAGAAAGAGAAAGAGAGUGAGCACCCAGAGAACGAACUGUGUGAACC